AGAUCUCACCCUCACUGGUUGUUGUUUCACAGGGAGGACGAUUGCACCAAAGAAGGUGAAAGUGGUACAGCAACAGCAGUUGAAGAAGGGCCUGGAGGUGGCGAUCAGGAACAAGAUAGAGGAAGAGGUGACUCACAGAGCCAUACUAAACUCCACAAGAGGCUGAGUGUUGUGAAGGGAGCGGAGGUGAAACAACCCCCUCUAAAGGAAACAAUCAUCCCAACCACCCUGCCACCAGCACCUCCAAAUAAACACCCUCUGUUAGUCUGUCUGUCUGCUCUGACUGCUUUCGCUGUGCUAGAUAGAAGUUCAUUAUGGCUCCCAAAUGGCACCC
This is a non-coding RNA of Salvelinus sp. IW2-2015, 334 nucleotides long. NCBI's taxonomy places the organism in Eukaryota, Metazoa, Chordata, Actinopteri, Salmoniformes, Salmonidae. The record is from RefSeq and is a predicted model, not a curated record.